This 451-nucleotide ribosomal RNA is filed under the name uncultured bacterium. RNAcentral's name for it is "bacterial SSU rRNA". It matches the Rfam family "Bacterial small subunit ribosomal RNA", at positions 929 to 1382 of the family's 1533-position model. The record is from RNAcentral.
GCGUGGAGUAUGUGGUUUAAUUCGAUGCAACGCGAAAAACCUUACCUGCCCUUGACAUCCUCGGAACUUGUCAGAGAUGACUUGGUGCCUUCGGGAACCGAGAGACAGGUGCUGCAUGGCUGUCGUCAGCUCGUGUCGUGAGAUGUUGGGUUAAGUCCCGUAACGAGCGCAACCCUUACCCUUAGUUGUUUUCCCGAAAGGAUUACCCUCUAAGGGGACUGCCCCGGACAACGGGGAGGAAGGUGGGGAUGACGUCAAGUCCGCAUGCUCCUUACGUCUAGGGCUACACACGUCCUACAAUGGGGUCGACAGUGGGAUGCAAAGCCGCGAGGUGGAGCCAAUCCCCAAACGGCCUCUCAGUUCGGAUAGUAGUCUGCAACUCGACUACUUGAAGUCGGAAUCGCUAGUAAUGGCGGAUCAGCAUGCCGCCGUGAAUACGUUCCCGGGUCUU